Long non-coding RNA from Limulus polyphemus (Atlantic horseshoe crab), 825 nucleotides. RefSeq lists it as uncharacterized. The transcript has 2 exons. NCBI's taxonomy places the organism in Eukaryota, Metazoa, Arthropoda, Merostomata, Xiphosura, Limulidae. The record is from RefSeq and is a predicted model, not a curated record.
AGCAGCGUUGUCCUGAAACCUUCAUUACUUCGUGAAUUUUCUUCACAAAGUCAAAAAAGUAUAACAAAAACAACAACAAAAUAUGUUAAAGACAUGUUCUAGCACAAUUUUUGCUUUCUUUAUACUCGGUGGGUCAGAGUUAAGUUUGCGGACUUACGACGCUAAAACCAGAAGUUCCUUUCCCUGCGAUGGAAAGCGCGUAGAUAGUUCAUUGGGUAGCUUUACGCUAGAAACACAAAAAUGCCCCCUUCACACGCACACCAGUGGGUUAGGCGAUAAGCUUGAGAACUUAUAGUGCUAAAAUUAGAGAUUCGAUCUCUGUGCUGGACUCAAUACAAGCUAAACCAUAAAGGCAUUUUAAUUCAAUAUUUGUGACUUUUUAGUGAAAUAUUAACUAAUAUAGUUAUUAAAUAUCCUAUCAAACAGGAAACAAAUUGAAUUUGAAAUAACUGCUGCGCCACUAUUCAAUUUCACAUGGAACCGUCUCUCAGAUUACACCUACUUUGCCACUCAAAUGUUGCCAUGUCCUUUAGCUGGCCGAGUGAAUGAUGUCUUUAUGUCUUAGUUGACGAAUGCUGUGAGAAAGUGACCAGUCACGUGGUGUCGCCAUCGCCAAAGAAGAAUUACGAGUUUUUUGUUGUUUUUUUUUGGAAAAUGAAUGCAUUUAUUUUUCUCAGUUAUACUUGGCUUUCAUCUGUUCAGCAGAGAUUCGUCUUGAGGGACGGAAACCGACAUCUAUACAUUUAUCCAGUAGAAGCGAUCGUCCAUGUAUCUACGCAUGUGUUGUUGUGUCAUAAAUAAAGUUUGUUUUCACUUCCAAUCAAA